Hordeum vulgare subsp. vulgare (domesticated barley) is the source of this 377-nucleotide long non-coding RNA. RefSeq lists it as uncharacterized. The transcript has 2 exons. The record is from RefSeq and is a predicted model, not a curated record. NCBI's taxonomy places the organism in Eukaryota, Viridiplantae, Streptophyta, Magnoliopsida, Poales, Poaceae.
CUUAGGUAACUUGGAAUGGGAAGAGGAGACAGAAAACCAACCAUUUCAUGUUUCACAGCUUGGAGAGAUUUUGAAAAGAAAGAACAAUGACCAACACUGGGUUAGAACAGACGUUGAGGGGACAAUAGUGGAUGCUACUAGUGCUUCGAGCACCGAAGAAUAGUUGAGGUUAGUAGCAACAAGGUUUCGACUGCAUGCUACAUGGAGGCAUAGAGGGGGUGGUGGCAUGUGUUCUUUGUGUUGGUACAGAACUGCUUGGUGGCUUCGUGCAGAGUAGCUAACAAACUUGCUUGACGAUAUACUAAUGUGUGAGACUAUGUGUUGGUCAAAACUUAGUGUACUCUUAUAUUUAUGCUUGAUAAUUUGGUUCGCUAUGA